Molecule: ribosomal RNA, 439 nt
Filed under: uncultured bacterium
Lineage: Bacteria
Description: partial 16S ribosomal RNA
Rfam family: Bacterial small subunit ribosomal RNA
Source: RNAcentral
CUACGGGUUGCUGCAGUGGGGAAUAUUGCACAAUGGGGGAAACCCUGAUGCAGCAACGCCGCGUGGAGGAUGACGCAUUUCGGUGUGUAAACUCCUUUUAUAUAGGAAGAUAAUGACGGUACUAUAUGAAUAAGCACCGGCUAACUCCGUGCCAGCAGCCGCGGUAAUACGGAGGGUGCAAGCGUUACUCGGAAUCACUGGGCGUAAAGCGCGCGCAGGCGGCCCCUUAAGUUGGAUGUGAAAGCCUACGGCUUAACCGUAGAACUGCAUCCAAAACUGAGGGGCUAGAGUCUGGGAGGGGAAGAUGGAAUUAGUUGUGUAGGGGUAAAAUCCGUAGAGAUAACUAGGAAUACCAAAAGCGAAGGCGAUCUUCUGGAACAGUACUGACGCUGAGGCGCGAAAGCGUGGGGAGCAAACAGGAUUAGAUACCCUCGUAGUC